GUAGGCUGCAACUCGCCUACAUGAAGUCGGAAUUGCUAGUAAUCGCGGAUCAGCAUGCCGCGGUGAAUACGUUCCCGGGCCUUGUACACACCGCCCGUCACACCAUGGGAGUUGGAAAUACCCGAAGCCUGUGAGCUAACAGUAAUGAGGCAGCAGUCGAAGGUAGAGCCAAUGAUUGGGGUGAAGUCGUAACAAGGUACC
RNAcentral lists this ribosomal RNA (201 nucleotides) under uncultured bacterium. Its description in RNAcentral is "partial 16S ribosomal RNA". It matches the Rfam family "Bacterial small subunit ribosomal RNA", at positions 1300 to 1500 of the family's 1533-position model. The record is from RNAcentral.